This 459-nucleotide ribosomal RNA is filed under the name uncultured bacterium. RNAcentral's name for it is "bacterial SSU rRNA". It matches the Rfam family "Bacterial small subunit ribosomal RNA", at positions 30 to 474 of the family's 1533-position model. The record is from RNAcentral.
AUUGAACGCUGGCGGCAGGCCUAACACAUGCAAGUCGAGCGGUAACAGAGAGAAAGCUUGCUUUCUUUGCUGACGAGCGGCGGACGGGUGAGUAAUGCCUGGGAAUAUGCCUUGAUGUGGGGGAUAACCAUUGGAAACGAUGGCUAAUACCGCAUAACGCCUACGGGCUAAAGAGGGGGAUCUUCGGACCUCUCGCGUCAAGAUUAGCCCAGGUGGGAUUAGCUAGUUGGUGAGGUAAUGGCUCACCAAGGCGACGAUCCCUAGCUGGUCUGAGAGGAUGAUCAGCCACACUGGAACUGAGACACGGUCCAGACUCCUACGGGAGGCAGCAGUGGGGAAUAUUGCACAAUGGGCGCAAGCCUGAUGCAGCCAUGCCGCGUGUGUGAAGAAGGCCUUCGGGUUGUAAAGCACUUUCAGUCGUGAGGAAGGUUCAUACGUUAAUAGCGUAUGGAUUUGACG